CCUACGGGAGGCAGCAGUGGGGAAUAUUGGACAAUGGGGGAAACCCUUAUCCAGCGACGCCGCGUGAGGGAAGAAGGUUUUCGGAUUGUAAACCUCUGUCAGCGGGGACGAUAAUGACGGUACACACAGAGGCAGCCACGGCUAACUACGUGCCAGCAGCCACGGGAAUACGUAGGGGGAAAGCGUUGUCCGGAAUUACUGGGUGAAAAGGGAGCGGUGGCGGGAUGUCAAGUCAGAAGUGAAAGGUGUGGGCUCAACUGAUGAACUGCUUUCGACACUGACAUUCUAGAGUGAAGUAGAGGCAAGUGGAAUUCCUAGUGUAGCGGUGAAAUGCGUAGAUAUUAGGAGGAACACCAGUGGCGAAGGCGGCUUGCUGGACUUUGACUGACGCUGAGGUUCGAAAGCGUGGGGAGCAAACAGGAUUAGAUACCCGGGUAGUC
Molecule: ribosomal RNA, 440 nt
Filed under: uncultured bacterium
Lineage: Bacteria
Description: partial 16S ribosomal RNA
Rfam family: Bacterial small subunit ribosomal RNA
Source: RNAcentral